GGAAUAUUGGACAAUGGGGGCAACCCUGAUCCAGCGACGCCGCGUGGGCGAUGAAGGUCUUCGGAUCGUAAAGCCCUUUUCUGAGGGAAGAGCAAGGACGGUACCUCAGGAAUAAGUCUCGGCUAACUACGUGCCAGCAGCCGCGGUAAAACGUAGGAGGCUAGCGUUAUCCGGAUUUACUGGGCGUAAAGCGCGUGCAGGCGGUGGUGCAAGUUGGGUGUGAAAUCUCCCGGCUCAACUGGGAGGGGCCGCUCAAUACUGCAUCACUUGAGGACAGGAGAGGGAAGUGGAAUUCCCGGUGUAGCGGUAAUAUGCGCAGAUAUCGGGAGGAACACCAGUGGCGAAGGCGGCUUCCUGGCCUGUUCCUGACGCUCAGACGCGAAAGCUAGGGUAGCGAA
Molecule: ribosomal RNA, 398 nt
Filed under: uncultured bacterium
Lineage: Bacteria
Description: bacterial SSU rRNA
Rfam family: Bacterial small subunit ribosomal RNA
Source: RNAcentral